RNAcentral lists this long non-coding RNA (806 nucleotides) under Homo sapiens (human). RNAcentral describes it as "non-protein coding LINC00928:10". Lineage: Eukaryota; Metazoa; Chordata; Mammalia; Primates; Hominidae. The record is from RNAcentral.
GGAGGGAGUGAGCAGGAUGCUGUGAGAGAGGGUUACUAUUCCAAGUGGCACCUGGGCCAGCAGCAUUGGCAUCACCUGGGACUUGUGAGAAAUCCAGCAUCUCAGGCUCCACUGCAGGUCUCCUAAAUCAGAAUCUACAGUUUAACAAGAUCCCCAGCAGAUGUGUGUGUAAGCUCAAGAACCUGUUGAGAGGAGCACCUAGCAUAAGACCUGGCUUGUGACAGCUGCUCGUGGCAUGCCCUUCUCCACUAAGCCAACUUGUUAAACCUCUUCACGGCUGAGAUCAUGCUGCUUUCUUCUUCAGAUCUGCCACCCUCUAGCUGGGUGACUUUUAGACAAGUGAUCGACCUCUCUGAGCCAGAGUUUCUACCUUGUAAAAAAAAAAAAAUCCCUUCCUGCAUGGUCAGCUGUCAUGAAAAGGACACAUGGUGAUGGGCAGACAAAGACAAGGCUUAGCUUCGUGUUUGACUCCUAGGAGCGCCCAGUUCAUGGAGGCUGCUGCUGUCACUAAUCUGUUUCCAUCUUCCCCUGGGAAUCCUGAGGUUUAUCUGUGAGCCUUUGGACUGCUGUAUGGACAACAUACUCUGCAGUAGCAUGAAGAAGUGAGUGAAGACCCUCCCUUGAACCGUUUGCCCUGAAAGAACAGAAGUCACAUCUUGAUAUCUCAGUGCCUUUACAGUGCCAGGGAUGGGGUAGGUGCUGAGCGCCUGGUAUGUGCUCACCCUAUGCUGUACAACACACAGAAAGCCCCACAGGGUUUGAACUGUAAUUAGGUAGAGGGUGUGUGGGACUCGCCUUGGGUCUCU